Molecule: ribosomal RNA, 631 nt
Filed under: Bradyrhizobium japonicum
Lineage: Bacteria; Pseudomonadati; Pseudomonadota; Alphaproteobacteria; Hyphomicrobiales; Nitrobacteraceae
Description: bacterial SSU rRNA
Rfam family: Bacterial small subunit ribosomal RNA
Source: RNAcentral
AAGUCGAGCGGGCGUAGCAAUACGUCAGCGGCAGACGGGUGAGUAACGCGUGGGAACGUACCUUUUGGUUCGGAACAACACAGGGAAACUUGUGCUAAUACCGGAUAAGCCCUUACGGGGAAAGAUUUAUCGCCGAAAGAUCGGCCCGCGUCUGAUUAGCUAGUUGGUGAGGUAAUGGCUCACCAAGGCGACGAUCAGUAGCUGGUCUGAGAGGAUGAUCAGCCACAUUGGGACUGAGACACGGCCCAAACUCCUACGGGAGGCAGCAGUGGGGAAUAUUGGACAAUGGGGGCAACCCUGAUCCAGCCAUGCCGCGUGAGUGAUGAAGGCCCUAGGGUUGUAAAGCUCUUUUGUGCGGGAAGAUAAUGACGGUACCGCAAGAAUAAGCCCCGGCUAACUUCGUGCCAGCAGCCGCGGUAAUACGAAGGGGGCUAGCGUUGCUCGGAAUCACUGGGCGUAAAGGGUGCGUAGGCGGGUCUUUAAGUCAGGGGUGAAAUCCUGGAGCUCAACUCCAGAACUGCCUUUGAUACUGAAGAUCUUGAGUUCGGGAGAGGUGAGUGGAACUGCGAGUGUAGAGGUGAAAUUCGUAGAUAUUCGCAAGAACACCAGUGGCGAAGGCGGCUCACUGGCC